GACGAGCAACCUCCCAAGCCCCUCCCUAAGCCCUCGGAGCUCCCCAUUACCCUAGGACCGAAGCAACCGCCGUCAGACCCCAUGGCAAUGUCGGCUCCAGAGCCUUCCCCCUCUCCUCUACUCAUAGUCAGGACAUCCCCAAGCACUGGUGAAGCCAUUAACGCCCUCGGCUCAGUCGGAAGAGCCCCGCCGACGCAGGCCCCCUUGCCGUUCUCCGGCCGCCUGACCCGAGUCGCGGCGACGUCACUGCAGGCCGCCUCAGGCNNNN
RNAcentral lists this long non-coding RNA (268 nucleotides) under Hordeum vulgare. Its description in RNAcentral is "long non-coding RNA (HVUL_LNC016420)". The record is from RNAcentral. Lineage: Eukaryota; Viridiplantae; Streptophyta; Magnoliopsida; Poales; Poaceae.